This 253-nucleotide ribosomal RNA is filed under the name uncultured bacterium. Its description in RNAcentral is "partial 16S ribosomal RNA". It matches the Rfam family "Bacterial small subunit ribosomal RNA", at positions 524 to 776 of the family's 1533-position model. The record is from RNAcentral.
GACAGAGGUGCCGAGCGUUAGGCGGAAUCACUGGGCUUAAAGCGUGUGUAGGCGGACCGUUAAGUACCUUGUGAAAUCCCCCGGCUCAACCGGGGAACGGCUGGGUAUACUGGCGGUCUUGAGCCAUCCAGGGGCAGUCGGAACAGACGGUGGAGCGGUGAAAUGCGUAGAUAUCAUUUGGAACGCCAAUGGUGAAAACAACUCGCUGGGGGUGUGCUGACGCUGAGACACGAAAGCCAGGGGAGCGAACGGG